Molecule: long non-coding RNA, 504 nt
Filed under: Medicago truncatula (barrel medic)
Lineage: Eukaryota; Viridiplantae; Streptophyta; Magnoliopsida; Fabales; Fabaceae
Description: lncRNA gene45470
Source: RNAcentral
GUGCAAAAUCAAGAAUCUGAAGUCCAGGACUAGCACUACUAAAAACAGCAAAAGCAACAGCAUUUCUCUUACCAGCAGUAGCUUGAAAAUGCAACAAACCUUGUGGAAAAACCAUAAGCUCACCUUUCUUCAAUGUCUUGAUAUAAACAGUGUUAGCUGAUGAAACAAAUCCAGCAGUGAUGUGACCUUGUGUCACAACAAGAAGUUCACUGGCACCAGGGUGAGUGUGAAGUGGGAUAACACCAGCAGGACCAAGGUCUAACCUUGCUGCAGAGAGACCAAGACCAUUAACAGCUGGAAAUUGAGCAACAAAUGCAGGUGUAACGGCGGCGUUGAUAAUGUUUGUUAUGUUUCCAGCCUGAAGGAGUGUCUGAGCCUUUGAUAUCUGCUACACAGAAAUCUUGAACAGAAGCAUUGGAAAUGGAUAGGAAAAGUGAAAGGAGGAAAAUGAUUUGAAUCAUGUUUGGGUUUGUUUGAUGAUGAAUUUGGUUUGAAUGUGAAUGU